CUACCAGCAGGGUCUAAUAAGGUCAUGUUAACCAGCAGACCAUUGUCUGGACUCCUAUAACCCCCAAAACAGCCUAAUUUGAGAGCGAAUGAGUACUGACGGAUCCAUCAAGCUUCAACAUAAUCUGAUCAGUCAGAGCCAUCGGAUUAGGAUGACAGGUCUGAAUAGGAGCCAGACGUCACUGUGGAUCUGAAUUGAGUCUCAUGGAGGCAGACAAGAAUUUGUCAUCUCUCUGGUGCUGAACCUGGUCUAAGUGGUCGGCAGGAGGUAUCCAUGGCAACAGGAUGAGGUUGUCCCUUGGUGUGGGCAAUCUAUGGUCAAUCUUUACAGUACUUAUUGAAUUAGAAACCGCUUACUGCUGUCUCCAUAGUAACAAGAGCUCAAGUAGAACCGUUAGACCAAUCAUGCAUAACUUGGGAUCCACAGAUAAACAGUUUCCUUAUUAUUAAUCAACCACUUUAUACGUAAGUGAACUCACAAUUUUUUGAUGUCUAAGAGAACUCACUGAAAAUGUAAUGUUUUU
Long non-coding RNA from Carassius gibelio (silver crucian carp), 523 nucleotides. RefSeq lists it as uncharacterized. The record is from RefSeq and is a predicted model, not a curated record. The transcript has 4 exons. NCBI's taxonomy places the organism in Eukaryota, Metazoa, Chordata, Actinopteri, Cypriniformes, Cyprinidae.